GCUCAAAACUCAAAGGACUUGACGGUGUCCCAAACCAACCUAGAGGAGCCUGUCCUAUAAUCGAUAAUCCACGCUACACCUUACCCCCCCUUGAAACCAGUCUGUAUACCGCCGUCUCCGGUUCGCCUUAUGACAGACCCGUCGCGAACAUAAUAGCCUUACCACUAAAACGUCAGGUCAAGGUGCAGCUAACGGGGGGGCAGCGAUGGGCUACAUUUUCUACCUUACCAGAACAACACCGCCCACCUUAUGAAACAUUGGUCACAAGGCGGAUUUAGCAGUAAGCCAGACA
Molecule: ribosomal RNA, 292 nt
Filed under: Tarentola boehmei
Lineage: Eukaryota; Metazoa; Chordata; Lepidosauria; Squamata; Phyllodactylidae
Description: partial 12S ribosomal RNA
Rfam family: Bacterial small subunit ribosomal RNA
Source: RNAcentral